Molecule: unclassified non-coding RNA, 338 nt
Filed under: soil metagenome
Description: partial contains 5.8S ribosomal RNA, internal transcribed spacer 2, and large subunit ribosomal RNA
Rfam family: 5.8S ribosomal RNA (bases 1-120)
Source: RNAcentral
GAUGAAGAACGUAGCGAAAUGCGAUAAGUAGUGUGAAUUGCAGAAUUCAGUGAAUCAUCGAAUCUUUGAACGCACAUUGCGCCCUUUGGUAUUCCUUAGGGCAUGUCUGUUCGAGCGUCAUUUAAAAAUUCAAGCUCAGCUUGGUGAUGGGUGUCUGUCCCACCUUUGCGUGCGGACUCGCCUCAAAUGCAGUUGGCAGCUUAUCCUCCGGCCCUAAACGCAGCAGAUUUGCGUCGAAGCGCCGUCCGGACGGGCUCUCCAGUAAGCAAACCCCCCAAGAUUGACCUCGGAUCAGGCAGGGAUACCCGCUGAACUUAAGCAUAUCAAUAAGCGGAGGA